RNAcentral lists this unclassified non-coding RNA (140 nucleotides) under soil metagenome. Its description in RNAcentral is "partial internal transcribed spacer 1". The record is from RNAcentral.
CCUAGAGUUGUAGGCUUUGCCUGCUAUCUCUUACCCAUGUCUUUUGAGUACCUUACGUUUCCUCGGUGGGUUCGCCCACCGAUUGGACAAACUUAAACCCUUUGCGGUUGAAAUCAGCGUCUGAAAAAACUUAAUAGUUA